UACGGGGGGGGCAAGCGUUGUUCGGAAUUACUGGGCGUAAAGGGCUCGUAGGCGGCCAACUAAGUCAGACGUGAAAUCCCUCGGCUUAACCGGGGAACUGCGUCUGAUACUGGAUGGCUAGAGUGUGGGAGAGGGAUGCGGAAUUCCAGGUGUAGCGGUGAAAUGCGUAGAUAUCUGGAGGAACACCGGUGGCGAAGGCGGCAUCCUGGACCGACACUGACGCUGAGGAGCGAAAGCCAGGGGAGCAAACGGG
Molecule: ribosomal RNA, 253 nt
Filed under: uncultured bacterium
Lineage: Bacteria
Description: partial 16S ribosomal RNA
Rfam family: Bacterial small subunit ribosomal RNA
Source: RNAcentral